Molecule: unclassified non-coding RNA, 1394 nt
Filed under: Harpegnathos saltator (Jerdon's jumping ant)
Lineage: Eukaryota; Metazoa; Arthropoda; Insecta; Hymenoptera; Formicidae
Description: n-acylneuraminate-9-phosphatase, transcript variant X2
Source: RNAcentral
AUUAAUAAUGAAUUAAGUGCCCUAAACUCUCCUAACUGACCGCUGUAUCCUCUCGUCCCGAGAUCUUGGUUGAUCAAUGAAAACUCCACAUUCAAUAUUCGUCUUUAUCAUAUAUUCGCAUCGUGUGUCUCGUCAGUCUUGGAAAAUCGCUUCGUCAAGACAUUUUAUUCUCGUCUCUCUCUCUCUCUCUCCCAUUUUUUUAUACUUUUUUUCACGACGAAGAACAUGUAUCAACUUUGCGACAAGAUAGAGUGAGAGACGACAUGUACGUGCACCGUCGCGAUCAUGCGUAUUGAAUGUGGAAGAAAUCACUGUCAUCCACAUUCAGUUUCUACCUUCUUCAUUUUCAGUUCUUCGCUCAUCAUUCUCUAACGUCACGAAAUUCGUCUAUAAUUCGUAUAACGAAGGCGAAAGCUUUUAUUGCACACAUUUACCUACAGUUGGCGGAGGAAUUGACGCAAGAAUACGGAAUCCCCGAAGAUGUCUCCGCCAAGGUAACGGCCGUGUUUCUCAAGCAAUUCAGAAAAUGCCCGGACAACGCGACCUGCACGUUAGACGCUUGGCGCACCAUUUUGUGGAGCAAGGCCCUCGGCGACAAGUACUCGCGCUUUGCGAGGAAGGUUUACGAACGAUGGCUGUAUUUAAGAUAUCAUUAUAUGGUACUGACACCGGCCACCGUGUCGAUGCUGCGGCAGCUGAGGAAGAAGUAUCUGCUGGGGCUGAUCACCAACGGCCCGUCGAAUGCACAGUGGGAGAAGGUGCGCAAGCUGUCGCUGGAGCAGUACUUCGAUAUCAUCCUGGUAUCGGGUGAUCUCCCGUGGGAGAAACCGGACGUUGAGAUAUUCCAGAAGGCCUGCGACUUGCUCAACGUCAGACCCAAGGAGUGCAUCAUGGUCGGCGACAAGCUGGAGACCGAUAUUCUAGGACGUCCUAAGGUCGUCCUGGAUAGGCUCAAGACAACCUUGAAUGACAUCCUGAGGACAUCCAGAACACAUUUUGGGGAAUCUUGUGCUAUCUGAGGCGCGACAACGAGCACAUUUUUCUCUCUCCAUAUUCACGUGAACAAACAAGAUCCACUUCACAGCUUUGUGAAGUGUUACAGCUUUUGAGCAUCUGGCUGCAUACAACUACACUCCUGAAAUCACCAACUAACGGUGACAUUACAUGAAUGUUAUGACUCGUUUCUUUGCAAUUAAUUUGCGACAUUGACGUAACAUAUUAAUUGGUUGCUUACCGAGUAACUACAUGAAGAACAUACAUAUAGGAAAGGUAUGCGUCUUCAAUGGUACAUGGUGUGCGCCGCAAUAAAUGUCGACAUUACAUUGUAUAGGUGGUAUCGAGGCUGGACUCUGCGGGACCGUGUGGAUACCCACCGCAGACAAGCCUCGUCUCUU